RNAcentral lists this non-coding RNA (28 nucleotides) under Rattus norvegicus (Norway rat). Lineage: Eukaryota; Metazoa; Chordata; Mammalia; Rodentia; Muridae. The record is from RNAcentral.
UGACUUAGUAGACCCUAUGGCUUGAUGG